AACGAACGCUGGCGGCGUGGAUAAGACAUGCAAGUCGAACGGGACCAGGUUGGUAGUAAUACUAGCUUGGUUCAGUGGCGCACGGGUGCGUAACACGUGAGCAAUCUGCCGGGAAGUGGGGGAUAGCUCGCCGAAAGGCGAAUUAAUACCGCAUGUGGCCAUUCUUCGAGUGGAGGAAAAGCCAAAGCAGCAAUGCGCUUCCUGAUGAGCUCGCGGCCUAUCAGCUAGAUGGCGGGGUAAUGGCCCACCAUGGCUUUGACGGGUAGCUGGUCUGAGAGGACGACCAGCCACACUGGAACUGAGAUACGGUCCAGACACCUACGGGUGGCUG
RNAcentral lists this ribosomal RNA (331 nucleotides) under uncultured Verrucomicrobiota bacterium. Its description in RNAcentral is "bacterial SSU rRNA". It matches the Rfam family "Bacterial small subunit ribosomal RNA", at positions 29 to 351 of the family's 1533-position model. Lineage: Bacteria; Pseudomonadati; Verrucomicrobiota. The record is from RNAcentral.